UAAGACGAACCGAGCGAACGUUAUUCGGAAUCACUGGGCUUAAAGGGCGCGUAGGCGGGUUUGCAAGUCCGUGGUGAAAUCCUCCAGCUCAACUGGAGAACUGCCGCGGAUACUGCGAGUCUCGAGGGAGGUAGGGGCGUGCGGAACAGAUGGUGGAGCGGUGAAAUGCGUUGAUAUCAUCUGGAACUCCGGUGGCGAAGGCGGCACGCUGGACCUCUUCUGACGCUGAGGCGCGAAAGCCAGGGGAGCAAACGGGAUUAGAUACCCCGGUAGUCCUGGCCCUAAACGAUGGGUACUAGGUAGUAGUCUUCACAUGGGAUUACUGCCGGAGCAAAAGUGCUAAGUACCCCGCCUGGGGAGUAUGGUCGCAAGGCUG
Molecule: ribosomal RNA, 376 nt
Filed under: uncultured bacterium
Lineage: Bacteria
Description: bacterial SSU rRNA
Rfam family: Bacterial small subunit ribosomal RNA
Source: RNAcentral